Molecule: long non-coding RNA, 31961 nt
Filed under: Triticum aestivum (bread wheat)
Lineage: Eukaryota; Viridiplantae; Streptophyta; Magnoliopsida; Poales; Poaceae
Description: long non-coding RNA (TAES_LNC021215)
Source: RNAcentral
CCCGUACCAUCGUAUGCCGUUUCCCCUCCGUCGUCGGUGUCGGAGCCUCCCCCUCCUUGUAAACUAGACAUAGAUGGUCUCUCUCGUUGUCUUUCCCGUUUCCAAGAUUUUAGACGGCAUGCCCGAUCUUAUUUCCCCCCUUGUUGCUGAGGUGCGUACUACGUAAAUUUGUCCGUGCUCGUUGUGUAAGCGACUCGCUCCACACGGGCCGCACGGCACUUAUUCACGAAAAGACAAACAUUGUGGUGUGUUUUGCUCCAGGUCUCCUUAUGUGCUCGUUCCGAAAGGAGCCCUCAUGCUCGCACUAUCCAAAAGUUUAGACGCGUUUGUCUUCUGCUAGUGAUUUGAAAAAGAAUCCAAAGUUAUGGAUGCGAGAGUGAAACGUUAUAUGAAGAAAUUUAACUUACAAUGUAAGGGCAUCUUCAAAGUAGAUCCUUAAAUCGCCUGCAAACAUCCAGAUGACAUUGUUUUGUUCGGAUGCAGUUUGUCAUCCAACGCCGUCCGCAUCGGUCCAUGGACCAGUCCACUUGUCUGUUUUCUCGCAAACCAGAAGCAAAUUGGGGGGAUGGGGGUGGGGAGUUUGUGGGAGUAUGGACAGCCGCCGCGUAGGACUCCGACUCCCCUGGCCCACCCAAAACCCCAUCAGGACCCGCAUCUUCAUCCCUUCAUAUUUCUAUGCAUCCCCUUCCCUCCCAGCCGUCGUUGCCGCUCUACCACCUCGGCCACUCGCCAAGGCCUUCCCGGACCUCCGCGACCUCGGCCACUCCAUCCGCUCGCCAAACCGUUUUCCUACGCAGCCGGUCCACACCUCUCGUCCGACCGUCGUGCAAGUACCAUCCGCCCCUACGGGGGUCACCACGCCCGACAAAUGCUUGGUGAAAUGCCCGUGCUAAUUUUUUUGUCCCUUCUUUGAAGCAAUGGGUUCCUACAUGAAGUACAUGCACGAGCACUACGUUGAGCCAUCCGAUUUGGAGGAUUGUGCAGAUAAAAUGACGAUGAUGCAGGCAAUCCUUACAGACGCGGAGCAUGUGGAAGAGCAUGUUCUAACCAAUUGUCACAGACACCGAAAAGCUCUUGGCAAUGUCCGAAGCAAGAGAGUGGCCAGGUUUGCUCAGAUCUCUUGAUUGCAUGCAUUUGAGAUGGUAGAUGUCAGGACCCCGACUCAAUGCCACAUCGAUCUAGCAUGUAACACCUCAUAUCACUUUGCGGCCUCACGCACGGUAUUCCCACGGGUGUCGCCUUACCUUACCCCGGGACCGUUUGCGCCUUUUGGCACACGUAUAUGACAGUGUCGCUAGCAUCCAUAUGAUAAGGAGCCCGGGCUGACAUGGCUAGUCGUAAACCCAAAGUGGCACAGACUUACAGGGACAAGCAUCCAUGACCCAGCAUCGAACGUGUCGGUCAUCAGCGAGUGAAACCAGGCUGUAGCACUGGGCUAGCAGGACUCCGGUGAACCGGGCUGUAGCGGGCUAACAGGACUCCGGUAUUCAUCGCGUGACAUUUCCCCGAAGGGACAGACACAGGAACGAAGAAGGACACAUGCCGGCCAGCCUAAGUGUUCCGGAGCAGUAGCAAGCUACCAUGGCUCGGUGGAAACACUAGGAGACAUUUCCCCGUAAGAGAGGCUACUAAAGAUAAACAACUAGAUGGUCAGAUCCCACACAUAUCAAGCAUUUCAAUAACAUACACACAAUAUGCUCGAUAUGUGCAACUACAACAUGGCAUCACAACAUGACUCUACGACUCAAGUAAUUUAUUCAAUAGGCUCUGAGGAGCGAGAUAUUACAAACAGGGGUCUCACGACCCAACAUUCAGAGCAUACAAGUCAAAGCACAAACGGAAGCUAUCAUGUCUGAGUACAGACAUCUAUAAAUGAAAAAGGCUGAGAAACCUGACUAUCUAUCAGAUCCUGCCGAGGGCACAAGAUCGUAGCUGAGGUAUCAAGCUAAACGUCGAAGUCCACGCGGAACUACUAGCGAGACCGAAGUCUCUCUGCAAAAACAUAAAAUAGGCAAACGUGAGUACAAAUGUACCCAGCAAGACUUACAUCAGAGCUAACUACAUAUGCAUCAUUAUCAACAAAGGGGAUGGUGGGGUUUAACUGCAGCAAGCCAGCUUUGACUCGGUGGCUAUCCUGAACUACGACUGCAAGUAACUCUUUUGAGGUGGCGCACACGAGUCCACAUAUUCACCAACCAAUACACCACUAUGGAUCCGCUCCCGUCUCCCUACGAGAACGCCAUCCAUAGCACUCACGCUUAUCUUGCGUAUUUUAGAGUAUCCACUUUCACUUGUCUAUGAACUGAUAUAAGCAACCCAGAAGUCCUUUUCCGCGGACACGGCUAUUCGAAUAGAUCAUAUUAACCCUGCAGGGGUGUACUUCUUCACACACGCUCUCACCACUUACCGCCGUUUACAUGACAUGUACUCGGCAACCUUCAAGCGGAAGCCCAACGUGGGUGUCGGCCACGGCCUACCUAAACACUCAAGUCUCUAGUCCAGGUUUAUCGCCUAUUCGGGUUCCAUCCAUGAGGAGAUCCGGCCGGAGUUUCGCUCACAGCCCCAAACGAUGUGUACAGGGUUCCGUGACACCAAACGGGCGCCCGGUUUACCCGGCCACGUGCCUACCGCAUCACAGCCCACCCCUACGGUCAGCGCUGCGCACGGCCUCCAGCAUACUACAAACACCAGAAACUACUUGCAACUCCUGGACAGAGGACAAGGGUGAUUAAGAAGCCGAGAGGGUCCAUUGGUUUCGGGCCCAAUGCGUGGUAGUAGCUGAAUCAUGGAUCACAAACACAGAACUCAGUUCCUGAGGACGGCUGCAAUGAGACAACCCACCAUGUACUCCUACAUGGCCUCUCACCGCUACCUUUACCAAAUCAUGUUCACACACUUAGCUCUCAAUGGUAGGACAUGUUCACACACCUCUGAUCCAUUCCCGAUGAAUCAGACCUGACACAACUCUAAGCAGUAGCAGGCAUGACAACAAGCAUGAAUGAGUAGGCACAACAGGGCUCAAACAACUCCUACUCAUGCUAGUGGGUUUCAUCUAUUUACUGUGGCAAUGACAGGUCAUGCAGAGGAUAAAGGGGUUCAACUACCGCAGCAAGUAACAGAUGAAUCGGGUCCUAAUGCAGUAAAAGAGAGCAGGAGCGAGAGAGUGGGAUUUUAUCGGAAUGAACAAGGGGGUUUUGCUUGCCUGGCACUUCUGAAGAUAACAUUGAGUCUUCAUCAGUGUCAACGAUCACAUCAUCGGUAUCACGUCUAUCGAGAGGGGACAAAUACCGGCAACACAGAAAGGAACACAAUCAAUGCAAUGCACAAUAUGAUGCAUGAUCAUGACAUGGCAAAAUGAAUGUGUUUUGAGCUAAUGCAACUAGCAACAGAUUAAAUGAAGUUGGUUUGAAUACAAGAUUCAAAUUCAAACUCCAUAUGUGAUUAUUCAAAUGUCAUUCACUUCAUUUGUCCUAAACAGUAGUGAUAAGUUGUUCUAACAUGCAUGAAAAUGGUACAGAUGGAUUCCUUGAAUUUUUCUGAUAAUUUUUCAUAUAUAAAUUAUUUAAUUUGGAGUUACGGUUGAAUUUCUAUGAUUUAUUGAAGUUUUAGCUAUUUUCUGGAAUUUUCAGAAUUAAAUUAAAUCCAGAAAACAUUACUGCGUCAGCAUGAUGUUGGCAUGACGUCAGCAAGUCAACAGGGGCCGGCUCGGGUCAAAACUGACCAGUGGGGCCCACUGGUCAGUGACUACGGCUAAUCCUAAUAUAAUUUAAACCUAACCUAGUUUAAUUAGUCGGCCCGGGCCCGCAUGUCAGUGAGUCAGUGGCUUAAUUAAACUUAGUUAUUAAUUUAACCAAAGGUUAGCAGGGGACGGGCCCACACGUCAGUGACCCAGGGGGGUCAAAUCCCUGGUCAACCCGGCUAAUCCACCGGCGUCUAACCGCCGGCAACGACCAGACGCGGCGGUGGCUCGCCGGAAUGGCUGCUCCGGCGCCCAUUCGACGCGCGGAGGGGUUCUACAGGGAGCUCGAGCUCGUGCGCAUCCAAUGGAGCAAGCCAGAGGAGUUGGGGUUGGCUGUGGCGUCGGCAGCGGCGAGGGAGGCGGCGGCCGGAGUUCGGGCGAGGUCGGGGUUGGCGUUAGGGGGCACGGGAGGGGAAGCUAGUGUGUGUGUUAGGUUCCUGGUGAGGUGUGGAGCACGUUGCCGUGCUCGGUAGCUAGCUCCGGUGGCUCUGGCCUUGUCCGCAUCAUCGCCGGCGGCGAGGAGCUCACGACCCCGGUGGAAAGGGCGGCUAGCGUGCGGGAACGAGCGCGGGGAGGAGGGGAAAUGGAAGAGGAGCUCACAUAGACCCUGUAGAGGUGGACGGCGAGCUUGAGGGAGGACGGACGGCGACGAAUUUGACGACGGCGAUCCUCGGUGGCCGAGGAGGGGAAAAAGCGUCGGGGUGGUGCUUCGGGGCUCUUCCGGUCACGUGGCUCGGUGAGGGGGUUGGCGACGAGGUGCAGGAGCUCGGGAGCACGUCGGGGAGGAGAGGGGGUGGCGGUGGCCGCGAGGGAGCUCGUCGGUGGCGGCGGCUCCGUUCGGUCCGGGCGAGAGAGGGGGAGCAGAGGAGAGAGGGGAUGCAGCGGGGGAGGAAGAGGAGCGAGGGGACACGAGGCCUCGUCGUGGCGUCGCUAGGGAGGCCGGGGGGAAGCAGGAGGUGGCCGGGAAGCAGGAGGUGGCCGGGGCGCGUGGCCGCGCGCGCCGGGCGCGUGCCCGUCCUCCUGGCAGGGAGGAAGACGACAGGGGAGGGAGUGGAGAUGGGCUGGGCCGGCUGGGCCGCGCUGGAGGAGCUGGGCCAGGUAAGUGGUCCAGGUACGGGUCUUUCUCUCUCUCUCUUUUUCUAAUUAUCUCAGUUUUCUAUUAUUCUGUAAAUUUAGGGCUUUAUUAAAAAUACUCAGACACUUUCAAAAAUCAUGAAACUAAUCAUGGCUACUGUUUAGAAUAUAUCCAACAGUAAACAUUUUAGUUUAUGAUUAUUUGAGCAUUUGAAAUAUUUAAUAGCAUUUAAAUGCCCAAAUGAAAAUACUAUAUGAUUUAAUUCAGUGACCAAAUAUGUCCUGCAAAAAUAUAAACCAUUUUUGGUAGAUGCUUCCACCUCAAACCAGAAAUGUUGAACAUUUUUAGAGGACAUUUUGAGUUCAAUGAAAAAGGUUUUAUUUUGACCCUAGUUGAAUUCAUUUGGUGCUAGGGCUUAGUCAAUCCCCAUCUCAGGUUUAAAUGAAAUUUAAACAUGAUGUAACACUCUAAUGCAUGCACUAGGCAUUGUCAGAACUAGGGAUGUGACAACUCACCCCCACUAAACAAGAAUCUCGUCUCGAGAUUCAAGCGUAGGGUAAGGUGAAAGGUAAACGCAACUAGUAUAAUCUUCACGAUCCAGGGUGCACUUCAGUUGAACGUUGAUUCAGUCACCAUCAUUGUCUUGAAGUCUUGCUCUGAGAAAUCCUGUCAACAUGACAUGGAGGGAAGAAGGAGACUCUAGAAGGACUGAUCUUUCGAAGAUCGAACCACUCAGGAUUAACUCCCGGAAUGACAUAGCAACAUCUCUCGAGCUGAGAGACGAAGCAUACCUCUGGAGGGAUGGAGUGGAGCAGGUGACGAGGUUCACUAGGUAGACAACAAUUCCAGACUUAAGAAUGUGGCGAUCGGUUGUCAACGUAGCGAGGAGUUGAAUUGCCAUGAUACCACGACGAAACAUCCUGGAGAAGGGUGAUUCGUAGAUUAUUAUCUUAAGUGGCAAAAAGAAUUACCUUUGAUAUAGAGAUCAUUGAGACUCUUUAUAUCAGUCUAAGGCAAAUCACAGCAAUCGAUUGGCGGGGGUCGGUAGAAUGGCAUACUCGGACUUGGAUGAUGUGGAUUACCUUGUUGAAGACAACGUAAUGGAUGAAUUUCCUUAUCACCGGAGAUGGAAGAGACCCGUGGUAGAAUGGCACAUUGACGGUGCAAGCUGGGAACAAAAUGCAAAUGCUGGGAAUGAUUCUGGUAACUGGGGAAGAACCCAACACUAAAGAGAGUGAAUUCACUGUUUGAAAAGGUCAUAGCAUUUGCCGAGGAAACUGAGAGGAAUCCCAGUUAGAGAUGAUGAUAAUACGUAGCGCUUGAGCAUGCUCUCAAGAACUUGAGCAUUUCCACAAUCAUCAGGGUUUUAUCAACAUCCGUGUCAAGGGUCCGGUAACACAACUUACUACCAUGAUGAAUGGUGAUGGAGGAUGCAGAUGCAAAGGAAGAUAACACUUCUCAGAUUUCAUCCUAGCGAGGCCAAGGAAAUAAAAUCUGGAUGAUCGACCGAGAGACAUUUAGCACUCCGCUUCUAAUGUUCUCCUUGACGUGCUAGUGUAACCCAUUCAUAGAUAUGGUUUGAUAACUAGAACAUCAAGUAAAGAUCGAACUUCGGGAGCAAUAGAAUCCAUAAGGAACAGUUACGGAGGUAAAUCCUACGAAAUCCUUAUGGGGAGGUGGCCAACUUCUUCAAUCAAGAUACUACAAUAAUAGGUCUUUCGGCUGGGUGGUGCUGGCCACGACAUCCACUUUACCGGUUAUCGCGCGACCAAUAUUAUAAUUCUUGGGAAAUAUGCCAACCAUCAUAUCUGCCUGAGAUUCAGAUCUGGUUGGUGUCAGGAUAUUCCAGACUCAUCGAGUCUAGGAAGAAAAACGGAAUUUUGCAACACAAAUCGACGAGAUGACGUUGCGAGAUUCUCGGGGAAUGAACUACGAUAGCAAGCUCCAAAACAUGAGCUGGUUCUGCUACAAACAUGUGAACACGUUGUCCCAGACAAGCAUGACCACAAAGUAGUCUUAUAAUAAAACACUACCGAGUUCUGGUUGGGAACCAUCAUCGUGGAUAACGAAGUCCUUGCAUAAGUCAUAUGAUUAGCUCUUAUGAAGGAACUUCUUCUCCUUGAACAAAUCAAUCAGUGGCUUGGUGUGCUCGGGACACAUAUGGAAUGAAGGUUGCAAGUCUCCAGACCACAGAAUACUUCGCACGUGUGCAUGACUGAUUUGGGAUGAUUCCAAGGAAACAAAACUAGCUUUCUCAAAUUCACGGCGGCAACUUUCACCAAAUGCACGUGUAUAAGAGGAAGUCACUCCUUUCAUCAAACAAAUACUUCAUGAGCUAGCAUGAAGAAAAUGCUUUCAAAAGUUUCCAACACUAGCUUAAUGUCCAACAAAAUCAUGGAGGAGAUAAGGAUGUUGUCAAUGGACACAACAACAAUUCAUCUGGGUUUCCUUUUAAAAGGAAUUCCAUAGUUAAGUGAACAAGUGAUAGCAUUGGUCAGACCCAAAAGAUAUAAUGGUGUAUGCUCGAGGGAUCAACCACGAGUAAGACAACAUUACAAAUAUCGUUGGUUCUGGUCUGAUUGGAUGAUAGCCCAUACUCAAUCAAAGGUUUGGGUAAGAUAAUAGAUCCAACAAUUGUUCACAGGGACCAAUCGAUGAAGAUAUCAUCUUUCUUCAACACACACUACACAAGAUUAUCCCUUUGGAACGAACUAAGUCAGGCAAGCUUUUAUCCUCCAACUCUCCAAGUUGUUGUUUAGCUUAUCCAACUAGCUCAGGGUAUCCAACACGGAUUCUUGGAGAAGGGGUGGUUUACAGGAAUAAACCAACUUGAUCACGAACUCAACAUAGCGGUCGGGUGACAACCUGGUAAUACUUCUGAGAAGAUAUUCAGAAAAUCACGAACCACCGGUAUGUUACUAAGCUCGAGAACAAUCUUGCUUUUCAGGGCAAGACGAUAUGAUCAAUAGAGCAAGGAUUUGAAAUAAUCCUAACUCAUCGAUCGAGGAGUGAACCAGGAGAAUGGACUAGGUAGCACGAUCAAUCUUAGAAUGAUGAUUCAAUAACCAACACACUAAGAAUGAAAUUAUUGUCCAUUAACUACCCAGCAACGAGGUUGCUAGGCGUGUUGAUUUCACACAUCACAAUUCAUUUGUCGGUAUUCCGGUUGCAUCAACACGAAGACCGAGGAAUGAUUAAUGAUGGCAAGAAGUAUCACUGUACCAAGAGUUCAUAGGAUGGUGUGCAAUUCCUAUAACAAUCCCGAUAUAAGAUGGUAAUACUCCAAGGUAGAACAGAAUAAAAGCUGGGUUAGCAAUUUGUUCUGCGGAGCAUAACUUCUUUGACCCAAUCCUGGAUAUGGAAGAGGUACUGGAGUUUGUUUCUCCUAGUCAUUCAGGACAGAAUGGCUUGACGGACCACAAGAGUAAUAGGCAUCGAUAAACGAACGCACGCAUACUCUUGACUAUCAAUUGAUAGACGAGGGUCAGAAUGCAACUAAAGAGAACAACUCAAAGGAACAUAUAAUUUUCUGAGUUGUGGAUGCAUAGAUUAGUAUGUCGAACCAAGUUCAACAUAUUUCUUCCGGAUAACCCAUGCAGAGAGGUAGAACUGGCAGAGUCACGAUUUAUGAAUGGAGAACUCCUCAAGAGUACUCUAAUUGUGAUCUUUUGAUCCAAUAAACAUCUGCCAUAAGCGGUUCAUAGUAUUUGGAAGAAGGAAAUACCACGGACCUCGAGGACUAUCGCAAAGUUACUAAUAUCCUGAAGGAACUAGCAAACACUAUCAACAUGAAGUAAGUAGAGUGAAUCUCGGGUUCAAAGCCCAAGGAGUAGAAUACCUACUACUAAGUGGCAUCACGGGAUGCUUUCGAGAAUAAAAGCCAGAAUCAUCACACUGGGACACAAAUCAUGGCUAAAUUACUAGAUGAUCCCCUAGGACACCUAGGGUCAUAAUAAUAUCUCCAACAUAUAUGUCAAGGUAACGGAGUACCUCAACUUACUGAUUAGUGUGGUUAAUCUGGCCCAUGGGAACAUUGAAACGGGAAGAAAAGAUUUGCAAAUGCAUCAGACUACUUAGAAACCUGGGAUGACUCGGACAGCAUAACGGCUGUAAAUGCCCAGAAAAGAUUUGAGACAUUCACAAAAUGGUGGCAUAACCACUCAGAAGCACAAUAUCAAGGUUCCGAGAUCAACAAUUAACAUACAGAAGUAAUAGGAACUGAAACGAGGCUUAAGUCCAACAAUUCUAUAAGUCUACGAAUUAAUAACACGUGAUCCUGAUAGAAAGAAGAGAAAGCCUAGUUCCUUAACCCCGUAGAAAAGAUAAGAUGACUCAGAUCAGAAGGGCAUAAGGUAUAAGGAAUAAAAAGAGCCUUACGUUCCAUCCCACAAUCAAUUCCCUUAUAUAACUAAAGAAUUUCUAGACUCGACUUCGACCAGUUUGGCUUGGUAAUCCUACAGGCAGUCAAGCUCUGAUACCAACGCUGUCAGGACCCCGACUCAAUGCCACAUCGAUCUAGCAUGUAACACCUCAUAUCACUUUGCGGCCUCACGCACGGUAUUCCCACGGGUGUCGCCUUACCUUACCCCGGGACCGUUUGCGCCUUUUGGCACACGUAUAUGAUAGUGUCGCUAGCAUCCAUAUGAUAAGGAGCCCGGGCUGACAUGGCUAGUCGUAAACCCAAAGUGGCACAGACUUACAGGGACAGGCAUCCAUGACCCAGCAUCGAACGUGUCGGUCAUCAGCGAGUGAAACCAGGCUGUAGCACUGGGCUAGCAGGACUCCGGUGAACCGGGCUGUAGCGGGCUAACAGGACUCCGGUAUUCAUCGCGUGACAUUUCCCCGAAGGGACAGACACAGGAACGAAGAAGGACACAUGCCAGCCAGCCUAAGUGUUCCGGAGCAGUAGCAAGCUACCAUGGCUCGGUGGAAACACUAGGAGACAUUUCCCCAUAAGAGAGGCUACUAAAGAUAAACAACUAGAUGGUCAGAUCCCACACAUACCAAGCAUUUCAAUAACAUACACACAAUAUGCUCGAUAUGUGCAACUACAACAUGGCAUCACAACAUGACUCUACGACUCAAGUAAUUUAUUCAAUAGGCUCCGAGGAGCGAGAUAUUACAAAUAGGGGUCUCACGACCCAACAUUCAGAGCAUACAAGUCAAAGCACAAACGGAAGCUAUCAUGUCUGAGUACAGACAUCUAUAAAUGAAAAAGGCUGAGAAGCCUGACUAUCUAUCAGAUCCUGCCGAGGGCACAAGAUCGUAGCUGAGGUAUCAAGCUAAACGUCGAAGUCCAUGCGGAACUACUAGCGAGACCGAAGUCUCUCUGCAAAAACAUAAAAUAGGCAAACGUGAGUACAAAUGUACCCAGCAAGACUUACAUCAGAGCUAACUACAUAUGCAUCAUUAUCAACAAAGGGGAUGGUGGGGUUUAACUGCAGCAAGCCAGCUUUGACUCGGUGGCUAUCCUGAACUACGACUGCAAGUAACUCUUUUGAGGUGGCGCACACGAGUCCACAUAUUCACCAACCAAUACACCACUAUGGAUCCGCUCCCGUCUCCCUACGAGAACGCCAUCCAUAGCACUCACGCUUAUCUUGCGUAUUUUAGAGUAUCCACUUUCACUUGUCUAUGAACUGAUAUAAGCAACCCAGAAGUCCUUUUCCGCGGACACGGCUAUUCGAAUAGAUGAUGUUAACCCUGCAGGGGUGUACUUCUUCAUACAUGUUUCCACCACUUAGCGUCUGCACACGACAUGUGCUCGGCAGAGUUCAAGCGAAAGCCGACGUGGGUGUAGACCACGACCUACCUAAACACUCAAGUCUCUAGUCCAGGUUUAUCGCCUAUUCGGGUUCCAUCCAUGAGGAGAUCCGGCCGGAGUUUCGCUCACAGCCCCAAACGAUGUGAACAGGGUUCCCGAGAUACCUAACGGGUAUUCGGUACACCGUGCCACGUACCUACCGCAUCACAGCCCACCCCUACGGUCAGCGCUGUCCACGGCCUCCAGUAGGCUACAAACACCAGAAACUACUUGCAACUCCUGGACAGAGAGCUAGGGUGAAUAAGAAGUCGAGCGGGGUCAUAUUUCAGGGCCCAAUGUAUGGUAGUAGCUGAAUCAUGGAUCACAAACACAGAACUCAGUUUCUGAGGACGGCUUCAAUGAGACAACCCACCAUGUACUCCUACAUGGCCUCUCACCGACACCUUUUACCAAAUCGUGUUCACACACUUGGCUCACACACAGUAGGACAUGUUCACACACCUCUGAUUCAUCCCCGAUGAAUCAGACCUGACUCAACUCUAAGCAGUAGCAGGCAUGACAAACAAACAUGAAUGAGUAGGCACAACAGGGCUCAAACAACUCCUACUCAUGCUAGUGGGUUUCAUCUAAUUACUGUGGAAUGACAGGUCAUGCAGAGGAUAAAGGGGUUCAGCUACCGCAGCAUGUAACAGUUGAAUCGGUGUUGUCCUAAUGCAGUAAAAGAGAGCAGGAGCGAGAGAGUGGGAUUGUAUCGGAAUGAACAAGGGGGUUUUGCUUGCCUGGCACUUCUGAAGAUAACAUUGAGUCUUCAUCAGUGUCAACGGUCACAUCAUCGGUAUCACGUCUAUCGAGAGGGGACAAAUACCGGCAACACAGAAGGGAACACAAUCAAUGCAAUGCACAAUAUGAUGCAUGAUCAUGACAUGGCAAAAUGAAUGUGUUUUGGGCUAAUGCAACUAGCAACAGAUUAAAUGAAGUUGGUUUGAAUACAAGAUUCAAAUUCAAACUCCAUAUGUGAUUAUUCAAAUGUCAUUCACUUCAUUUGUCCUAAACAGUAGUGAUAAGUUGUUCUAACAUGCAUGAAAAUGGUACAGAUGGAUUCCUUGAAUUUUUCUGAUAAUUUUUCAUAUAUAAAUUAUUUAAUUUGGAGUUACGGUUGAAUUUCUAUGAUUUAUUGAAGUUUUAGCUAUUUUCUGGAAUUUUCAGAAUUAAAUUAAAUCCAGAAAACAUUACUGCGUCAGCAUGAUGUUGGCAUGACGUCAGCAAGUCAACAGGGGCCGGCUCGGGUCAAAACUGACCAGUGGGGCCCACUGGUCAGUGACUACGGCUAAUCCUAAUAUAAUUUAAACCUAACCUAGUUUAAUUAGUCGGCCCGGGCCCGCAUGUCAGUGAGUCAGUGGCUUAAUUAAACUUAGUUAUUAAUUUAACCAAAGGUUAGCAGGGGACGGGCCCACACGUCAGUGACCCAGGGGGGUCAAAUCCCUGGUCAACCCGGCUAAUCCACCGGUGUCUAACUGCCGGCAACGACCAGACGCGGCGGUGGCUCGCCGGAAUGGCUGCUCCGGCGCCCAUUCGACGCGCGGAGGGGUUCUACAGGGAGCUCGAGCUCGUGCGCAUCCAAUGGAGCAAGCCAGAGGAGUUGGGGUUGGCUGUGGCGUCAGCAGCGGCGAGGGAGGCGGCGGCCGGAGUUCGGGCGAGGUCGGGGUUGGCGUUAGGGGGCACGGGAGGGGAAGCUAGUGUGUGUUAGGUUCCUGGUGAGGUGUGGAGCACGUUGCCGUGCUCGGUAGCUAGCUCCGGUGGCUCUGGCCUUGUCCGCAUCAUCGCCGGCGGCGAGGAGCUCACGGCCCCGGUGGAAAGGGCGGCUAGCGUGCGGGAACGAGCGCGGGGAGGAGGGGAAAUGGAAGAGGAGCUCACAUAGACCCUGUAGAGGUGGACGGCGAGCUUGAGGGAGGCCGGACGGCGACGAAUUUGACGACGGCGAUCCUCGGUGGCCGAGGAGGGGAAAAAGCGUCGGGGUGGUGCUUCGGGGCUCUUCCGGUCACGUGGCUCGGUGAGGGGGUUGGCGACGAGGUGCAGGAGCUCGGGAGCACGUCGGGGAGGAGAGGGGGUGGCGGUGGCCGCGAGGGAGCUCGUCGGUGGCGGCGGCUCCGUUCGGUCCGGGCGAGAGAGGGGGAGCAGAGGAGAGAGGGGAUGCAGCGGGGGAGGAAGAGGAGCGAGGGGACACGAGGCCUCGUCGUGGCGUCGCUAGGAAGGCCGGGAGGAAGCAGGAGGUGGCCGGGAAGCAGGAGGUGGCCGGGGCGCGUGGCCGCGCGCGCCGGGCACGUGCCCGUCCUCCUGGCAGGGAGGAAGACGACAGGGGAGGGAGUGGAGAUGGGCUGGGCCGGCUGGGCCGCGCUGGAGGAGCUGGGCCAGGUAAGUGGCCCAGGUACGGGUCUUUCUCUCUCUCUCUUUUUCUAAUUAUCUCAGUUUUCUAUUAUUCUGUAAAUUUAGGGCUUUAUUAAAAAUACUCAGACACUUUCAAAAAUCAUGAAACUAAUCAUGGCUACUGUUUAGAAUAUAUCCAACAGUAAACAUUUUAGUUUAUGAUUAUUUGAGCAUUUGAAAUAUUUAAUAGCAUUUAAAUGCCCAAAUGAAAAUACUAUAUGAUUUAAUUCAGUGACCAAAUAUGUCCUGCAAAAAUAUAAACCAUUUUGGUAGAUGCUUCCACCUCAAACCAGAAAUGUUGAACAUUUUUAGAGGACAUUUUGAGUUCAAUGAAAAAGGUUUUAUUUUGACCCUAGUUGAAUUCAUUUGGUGCUAGGGCUUAGUCAAUCCCCAUCUCAGGUUUAAAUGAAAUUUAAACAUGAUGUAACACUCUAAUGCAUGCACUAGGCAUUGUCAGAACUAGGGAUGUGACAAUAGAACUACCCAAAAGCUCUACAAGGGCGAUAUCAGAGCCAUGUUAAGAAGCCCAUUAUCAUUCUUAAAGGAUUUGCAUCACAUAACCUCUGAAUCUAGCAUGCCUUUUUUGGCAUGUCCAAAUCUUACAGUGAUAUUAAUGUGCUGCAUCGGUCUCCAUUGUUUGUUAGGUUGACUAAAGGGCAAGCUUCUCCUUGCACCUAUAUUGUCAAUGGGCAUUAGUACAACAUGGGCUACCAUCUGAUUGAGGGUAUCUAUCCUUUGUGGGCUACCUUUGUCAAGACCAUAUUCGAUCCAGUUGGUCAGAAAAGAGCUAUCUUUGCCCAAAGACAAGGAGCUAGAAAAGAUGUGGUGGGGCAUUUGGACUGCUCCAAACCCAUUUUGCAGUUGUUUGUGGACCUCCUAAACAAUUAGAUCCAAAUACCCUAUGGGAGGUGAUGACAUUUUGCAUGAUUAUGCACAACAUGAUUGUGGAGGAUGAGAGUGAAGAUGUUGUCGGAGGUCUGGAAUUUGGAAGCAUGGGUGAUCCUAUCCAACUUCCAGAUCAGAAUCCCGCCAUGUUUGAUGAGUAUGUUUAAAUGCAUCAACAAAUUUGGGACUGGGGAACUCAUGAGUAACUUAAGAAGGAUUGAUUGAGCAUCUGCGGGCGGUUAAAGGGGGCAACUAGGACAUAUGUCUGAGUUAAAUUCAAGUUUGAACUAUUUUAUUUGAAAACUUAGUUAGAGUUUAAUAUUUAAAUUAGAAUUACGGUUGCAUUUGAAUAUUUCCACUGAUCAAAAAUUCGAUAUGCUAUUAUUCUUGAGCUCACGGACUUGAAAGAAAACAGAGGGCGUUUAGGGGACAAUGUUGGAUGGUCUCUCGUAUCACUGUCCAUGGACCGGUCCACAAACAAAUAUAGUGUCCAUUUUAAAGGCUGGCGUUAGAGAUGCCCUAAGUCGCCAGAAUGCUUUCAACAAGGAUAGGAAUAUUAUGGAUGAGAUCAUGUUUUUACAUGAGAUUUUGCAUAAAGUCUAAAAGGUUGAAACAACAAGGGGUUGUGCUAAAUGGGUGAAGGUGAGGCUAUAACUGAAAUCCGGGUUCUACUAUUAUCAGUGCUAAUGAUGGCAACUCCCGCGAGCAUCCAGGUCUUACUGCAUCAGACGAUGGCGACAUUUUGUGUGGUGUUUCCUCUUAUGGGCAUUGUCUUGGAGCUGGAAGCACCCUGAGGUCUUAUUGUAUAAGGCAAAGAUGGUGGUUGCUCUUUGGUUCUUUUCCAACAUAUGUCAUUCAUCCUUUGUUGGUUGGAUAUUUGGACAUGUCAUCGGAAGAGCCGAAGAUUUUCAUCGGAAGCGGGGUUAGCGAGUCCUCGACCACUUUGGAUCAACUCGUUCCCAAACGACACCCCUUCCCUCUUUUACGAUGGGUGUUGUUGGAUGGCAAUCAGACAACCUUUGCUAAAGGUGUUUGUCUUGAUCUGGUUAGAGGAUGACAAAGUUGAAGUCCUUCUCUUUGUGGGCUGAUGAGACAUAUGGACGUCGACCGCCUUUUCUUCAUGUUUCUGUAACGUGCUCCUUUCGUCUUGCCUGCCUCCCUUCUCUUUUUUCUAUAUCUUUAGCCUUUUUUCUCUUCAUUUUGAUGUCACUGCACUCACGGCUAUCGUCCAUUCUUUCACUUCUUUUAAUGAAAUGAAAACAUACGCCUUUUUACAGAAAUUGUAAAGUUAAUGAGACUAAAGAAAAUAUGAAUACCAGAUAGUAGAAACAAAGCCGAGACUAAAGAAAAAAUGAAUACCAAAUAGUAGAAACAAAGCAGACUCGGUUUUUAAGGAGCACCUUGCACCAUCAUGUUCACCAACUGGUCUGGUUAUGAUAUCGGGAGGUUCGGUGAUGACAGCUGUUGUGGAGGCUAAGAUUGCUAAAAUCGCCUCGGUUCAAACUUUAUGGAAGUGGGAGGCCGUUCCUCAUGGUGAUGAUGCCUUCUUGGUUGCCUUUCCAUCUAUGGAGGUUUUGCGUCGAGUGCCUGCUUUCGAGUUCAAAGUCAAGUCUCACAAUGUCAUGAUUGCUAUUAGUGAAUGGAAAUCAUAAAAUGAUGUCAAGCCUGCAUAUAAUCCGCUGAAGCCAGUUUGGGUACAUGUCACUGGAGUUCCACCGCCACUUCGCCACUUUCUUGGCUUGUGGGCAGUGGGAUCCGUCAUCGGUGGAACACAAGAUGUUGACUUGAUUUGCUUACGACGUCGUGGCAUCAUGCGUAUUCAGGUGGCUGUCCUGAAUCUAAAUAUAUUCAAGAAAGAGGAUAAUGCAGGGAGUGCCUCAGUGUCGGCUGGGGUAUAUAUCAAAUUAAAUGGUUAUGACUUCCGGUUUGUUCUCGAGGACGAUGAUUUCAAGCCUGAUGAUGAUUUUAUCCCUCGUAUUUGGGAACACCAUGAUGAUGGACCCGACCAUGGGGCUAACCGCGAGGAUGACUUGCCUGAUCGUGAUGCGAAUAAAAAGGCAAAAAAUUCUGGAGUCUCAGGUGCAGCUUCGUCUGAAUCUCAGUCUGAUGGGAGUGGGACCGUCCCAAUGAACACAGAUGUUCGUUUUUCGGAUGCACAGAGAGUUUGCUGGCACAAACCCAUGAGCACCAUGGAAGAGUCACGUACAAGUACCAUUCUAUCCAUUGAUGCGAUGCAUGCAGAUAAAUUGGACGCAAGCAUUGCUGACCAUGGCAAUGCACACGCAGGCCUGGACCUUCCCAGCCAAAUCACUGCCAUGCAUCAGAUUAAUGGGGAGUUUGGUCCACCAGCUGCUGGCCUAGCGGAGACCGUCGACUCAUCUAUAUGUCCAGCUGAUAUGCAUGAGGCUACAGAUCUCCGCCAGUGAAUGGACGUGCCGGUUCAGCAGCCGGCUGUUGCUGUGGUCUGCCCACCCACACAGGCUGGUCUGCAGUCUUCCAAGCCGUCUCACGAUGCUACACAGAUGGAGCCAUGUGUUCGUCUCUCUGCACCAACUUCGUCUUCAACACCUACCAUGUUCGCUACUACUUCAUCAUUGUCGACGGAUCGCGCGACGACACCGGUGGCUCUUAUGUCUAAGGGAAGCUCCCCCCUUCGGUGUAGUAACCGUCACUCCGUCUCUGUUGAUGGUUCUUCUCUGACCGAUGAACAUGCUAUGGACAAGGCAAUGCGACAUCAGGCUGCACAUAAUUUGGACAUCGUUCCAGGUAAUUUAUCCGCAAAAUCUUUUCUUUCUUUUCAGAUUCACGUAUUUCUUCUAGCUUAAAGAAUGUUGGAUGCUCUAUUGGAAAGAAUGAUAAUGAAAUUAAUUUAUCGGUUGGGGUGCUUAAACAUAUGGAGAUUGACCGAUUAAAGGUUUCUCCGAAGUGUAAUGCCUCCAUACCUAACCUUGAAACCGAGGAGGAGGAUGAAGCAGAUGCCAAAUAUGAUGGUCCGCUUAUAUCCCACUUGGUUGGUGAGGUUACCGAGGUUGGAUUGGAUGACGUAAGACCUGGGUCCAUGUUUUGUGACUUCACAGUGUCCUCGCGGAAAUCUAAAUCACACUCCUCUAAAAAGAAACAAAAACCGCCCAAGAUGUUGGAAAUAUGCCCUAGAGGCAAUAAUAAAAUGGUUAUUAUUAUAUUUCUUUGUUCAUGAUAAUCGUCUAUUGUUCAUGCUAUAAUUGUGUUAUCCGAAAAUCGUAAUACAUGUGUGCAUACAUAGACCACAACACAUCCCUAGUGAGCCUCUAGUUGACUAGCUCGUUGAUCAAAGGAUAGUCAUGGUUUUCUGACUAUGGACAUUGGAUGUCAUUGAUAACGGGAUCACAUCAUUAGGAGAAUGAUGUGAUGGACAAGACCCAAUCCUAAACUUAGCUCAAAGAUCGUGUAGUUCGUUUGCUGUAACUUUUCUGAAUGUCAAGUAUCAUUUUCUUAGACCAUGAGAUUGUGCAACUCCCGGAUACCGUAGGAGUGCCUUGGGUGUGCCUAACGUCACAACGUAACUGGGUGACUAUAAAGGUACAUUAUAGGUAUCUCCGAAAGUGUCUGUUGGGUUGGCACGAAUCGAGACUGAGAUUUGUCACUCCGUAUGACGGAGAGGUACCUCUAGGCCCACUCGGUAAUGCAUCAUCAUAAUGAGCUCAAUGUGACCAAGUGGUUGAUCACGGGAUCAUGCAUUACGGCACAAGUAAAGUGACUUGCCGGUAACGAGAUUGAACUAGGUAUUGGGAUACCGACGAUCGAGUCUCGGGCAAGUAACGUACCGAUUGACAAAGGGAAUUGUAUACGAAUUGAUUGAAUCCUCGACAUCGUGGUUCAUCCGAUGAGAUCAUCGUGGAGCAUGUGGGAGCCAACAUGGGUAUCCAGAUCCCGCUGCUGGUUAUUGACCGGAGAGACGUCUCGGUCAUGUCUGCAUGUCUCCCGAACCCAUAGGGUCUACACACUUAAGGUUCGGUGACGCUAGGGUUGUAGAGAUAUUAGUAUGCAGUAACCCGAAAGUUGUUCGGGGUCCCGGAUGAGAUCUCGGACAUCACGAGGAGUUCCGGAAUGGUCCGGAGGUAAAGAUUUAUAUAUGGGAAGUCCAGUUUUGGCCAUCGGGAAGGUUUCGAGGGUUACCUGUAUUGUACCGGGACCACCGGAAGGGUCCCGGGGGUCCACCGGGUGGGGCCACCUGUCUCGGAGGGCCCCAUGGGCUGAAUUAGGUGGGGAACCAGCCCCUAGUGGGCUGGCGCGCCCCCCCUUGGGCCUGCCCUACGCCUAGGGUUGGGAAACCCUAGGGGUGGGGGCGCCCCCCACUUGGCUUGGGGGGGGGGGGAAGCCACCCUUGGCCGCCGCCCCCUUGGAGAUCCAUCUCCCUAGGACCGGCGCCCCCCAAGGCCCCUGUAUGAAGGGGGGGAGGAAGGGCAGCCGCACCCCUUGCUUUUGGCGCCUCCCUCUCCCUCUGUAACACCUCUCCUUCCCGCUUGCGCUUGGCGAAGCCCUGCCGGGAUCCUGCUGCAUCCACCACCACGCCGUCGUGCUGCUGGAUCUUCAUCAACCUCUCCUUCCCCCUUACUGGAUCAAGAAGGAGGAGACGUCUUCCUAACUGUACGUGUGUUGAACGCGGAGGUGCCGUCCGUUCGGCACUAGGUCAUUGGUGAUUUGAAUCACGUCGAGUACGACUCCAUCAACCCCGUUCUCUUGAACGCUUCCGCACGCAAUCUACAAGGGUAUGUAGAUGCACUCCUCUCUCCCUCGUUGCUAGAUGACUCCAUAGAUUGAUCUUGGUGAUGCGUAGAAAAUUUUAAAAUUCUGCUACGUUCCCCAACAGUGGCAUCAUGAGCUAGGUCUAUGCGUAGUUACUAUGCACGAGUAGAACACAAAGCAGUUAUGGGCAUCGAUAUUGUCAAUUUGCUUGUCAUUACUAGUCUUAUCUUGAUUCGGCGGCAUCGUGGGAUGAAGCGGCCCGGACCAACCUUACACGUACGCUUACGUGAGACUGGUUCCACCGACUGACAUGCACUAGUUGCAUAAGGUGGCUGGCGGGUGUCUGUCUCUCCCACUUUAGUCGGAUCGGAUUCGAUGAACAGGGUCCUUAUGAAGGGUAAAUAUAAAUUGGCAAUUCACGUUGUGGUUUUGGCGUAGGUAAGAAACGUUCUUGCUAGAAACCUAUAGCAGCCACGUAAAAACUUGCAACAACAAUUAGAGGACGUCUAACUUGUUUUUGCAGCAAGUGUUUUGUGAUGUGAUAUGGCCAAAGGAUGUGAUGAAUGAUAUAUGUGAUGUAUGAGAUGAUCAUGUUCUUGUAAUAGGAAUCACGACUUGCAUGUCGAUGAGUAUGACAACCGGCAGGAGCCAUAGGAGUUGUCUUUAUUUAUUUAUGACCUACGUGUCAACAUAAACGUCAUGUAAUUACUUUACUUUAUUGCUAAAGCGUUAGCCAUAGUAGUAGAAGUAAUAGAUGAUGAGACAACUUCAAGAAGACACGAUGAUGGAGAUCAUGAUGAUGGAGAUCAUGGUGUCAUGCCGGUGACAACAAUGAUCAUGGAGCCCCGAAGAUGGAGAUCAAAAGGAGCAAAUGAUAUUGGCCAUAUCAUGUCACUAUUUGAUUGCAUGUGAUGUUUAUCAUGUUUUACAUCUUAUUUGCUUAGAACGACGGUAGCUUAAAUAAGAUGAUCCCUCGCAAUAAUUUCAAGAAAGUGUUACCCCUAACUGUGCACCAUUGCGAAGGUUCGUUGUUUCGAAGCACCACGUGAUGAUCGGGUGUGAUAGAUUCUAACGUUUGAAUACAACGGGUGUAAGCCAGAUUUACACACGCAAUAUACUUAGGUUGACUUGACGAGCCUAGCAUGUACAGACAUGGCCUCGGAACACGGAAGACCGAAAGGUCGAGCAUGAGUCGUAUAGAAGAUACGAUCAACAUGAAGAUGUUCACCGAUGUUGGCUAGUCCGUCUCACGUGAUGAUCGGACACGGCCUAGUUAACUCGGAUCAUGUUUCACUUAUAUGACUGGAGGGAUGUCUAUUUGAGUGGGAGUUCAAUGAGUAAUUUGGUUAGAUGAACUUAAUUAUCAUGAACUUAGUCUAAAAUCUUUACAAUAUGUCUUGUAGAUCAAAUGGCCCAUGUUGUCCUCAACUUCAACGCGUUCCUAGAGAAAACCAAGCUGAAAGACGAUGACAGCAACUAUACGGACUGGGUCCGGAACCUGAGGAUCAUCCUCAUAGCUGCCAAGAAAAGAUUAUGUCCUAGAAGCACCGCUAGGUGACGCACCUGUCCCAGAGAACCAAGACGUUAUGAACGCUUGGCAGUCAUGUGCCGAUGAUUACUCCCUCGUUCAGUGCGGCAUGCUUUACAGCUUAGAACCGGGGCUCCAAAAGCGUUUUGAGAGACACGGAGCAUAUGAUAUGUUCGAAGAGCUGAAAAUGGUUUUUCAAGCUCAUGCUCGGGUCAAGAGAUAUGAAGUCUCCGACAAGUUCUUCAGCUGUAAGAUGGAGGAAAAUAGUUCUGUCAGUGAGCACAUACUCAAAAUGUCUGGGUUGCAUAACCGCUUGACUCAGCUGGGAGUUAAUCUCCCGGAUGACGUGGUCAUUGACAGAAUCCUUCAGUCGCUUCCACCAAGCUACAAGAGCUUUGUGAUGAACUUCAAUAUGCAUGGGAUGGAAAAGACCAUUCCUGAGGUAUAUUCAAUGCUGAAAUCAGCAGAGGUGGAAAUCAAAAAGGAACAUCAAGUGUUGAUGGUGAAUCAAACCACUAAGUUCUAGAAAGGCAAGGGUAAGAAGAACUUAAAGAAGGACGGCAAGGGAGUUGCCACACCCGGUAAGCAAGCUGCCGGGAAGAAGCCAAAGAAUGGACCCAAGCCCGAAACUGAGUGUUUUUAUUGCAAGGGAAGUGGUCACUGGAAGCGGAACUACCCCAAAUACUUAGCGGACAAGAAGGCCGGCAACACUAAAGGUAUAUGUGAUAUACAAGUAAUUGAUGUGUACCUUACCAGUACUCGUAGCAGCUCCUAGGUAUUUGAUACCGGUGCGGUUGCUCACAUUUGUAACUCAAAGCAGGAGCUGCGGAAUAAGCGGAGACUGGCGAAGGACGAGGUGACGAUGCGCGUCAGGAAUGGUUCCAAGGUCGAUGUGAUCACCGUCGGCACGCUGCCUCUACAUUUACCUACGGGAUUAGUUUUAAACCUCAAUAAUUGUUAUUUAGUGCCAUCUUUGAGCAUGAACAUUGUAUCAGGAUCUCGUUUAAUUCGAGAUGGCUACUCAUUUAAAUCCGAGAAUAAUGGUUGUUCUAUUUAUAUGAGAGAUAUGUUUUAUGGUCAUGCUCCGAUGGUGAAUGGUUUAUUCUUAAUGAAUCUCGAGCGUAAUGCUACACAUAUUCAUAGUGUGAAUACCAAAAGAUGUAAGGUUGAUAAUGAUAGUCCCACAUACUUGUGGCACUGCCGCCUUGGUCACAUAGGUGUCAAACGCAUGAAGAAGCUCCAUGCAGAUGGACUUUUAGAGUCUCUUGAUUACGAAUCAUUUGACACGUGCGAACCAUGCCUCAUGGGUAAAAUGACCAAGACUCCGUUCUCAGGAACAAUGGAGCGAGCAACCAACUUAUUGGAAAUCAUACAUACUGAUGUGUGCAGUCCAAUGAGUGUUGAGGCUCGCGGUGGCUAUCGUUAUGUUCUCACCCUCACUGAUGACUUGAGUAGAUAUGGGUAUGUCUACUUAAUGAAACACAAGUCUGAGACCUUUGAAAAGUUCAAGGAAUUUCAGAGUGAGGUUGAGAAUCAACAUGAAAAGAAAAUCAAGUUCUUGUGAUCAGAUCGUGGGGGAGAAUACUUGAGUCACGAAUUUGGCACACACUUAAGAAAAUGUGGAAUAGUUUCACAGCUCACGCCGCCUGGAACACCUCAGCGUAAUGGUGUGUCCGAACAUCAUAAUCACACUCUAUUGGAUAUGGUGCGAUCUAUGAUGUCCCUUACCGAUUUACCGCUGUCAUUUUGGGGCUAUGCUUUAGAGACUGCCGCAUUCACUUUAAAUAGGGCUCCGUCGAAAUCCGUUGAGACGACACCGUAUGAAUUAUGGUUUGGGAAGAAACCUAAGCUGUCAUUUCUAAAAGUUUGGGGAUGCGAUGCUUAUGUCAAGAAACUUCAACCUGAAAAGCUCGAACCCAAGUCGGAAAAAUGCGUCUUCAUAGGAUACCCUAAAGAAACUGUUGGGUAUACCUUCUACCUCAGAUCCGAAGGCAAGAUCUUUGUUGACAAGAAUGGGUCCUUUCUAGAGAAAGAGUUUCUCUCGAAAGAAAUAAGUGGGAGGAAAGUAGAACUUGAUGAAGUAUUACCUCUUGAACCGGUAAGUGGCGCAGCUCAAGAAAAUGUUCCUGAGGUGCCUGCACCGACUAGAGAGGAAGUUAAUGAUGAUGAUCAUGAAACUUCAGAUCAAGUUGCUACUGAACUUCGUAGGUCCACAAGGACACGUUCCCCACCAGAGUGGUACGACAACCCUGUCUUGGAAAUCAUGUUGUUAGACAACGGUGAACCUUCGAACUAUGAAGAAGCGAUGGCAGGCCCCGAUUCCGACAAAUGGCUGGAAGCCAUGAAAUCCGAGAUAGGAUCCAUGUAUGAAAACGAAGUAUGGACUUUGACUGACUUGCCCGUGGAUUGGCGAGCCAUAGAAAAUAAAUGGAUCUUUAAGAAGAAGACAGACACGGAUGGUAAUGUGACCAUCCAUAAAGCUCGGCUUGUCGCUAAGGGUUAUCGACAAGUUCAAGGGGUUGACUACGAUGAGACUUUCUCACCCGUAGCGAAGCUGAAGUCCGUCCGAAUCAUGUUAGCAGUUGCCGCAUUCUAUGAUUAUGAGAUAUGGCAAAUGGACAUCAAAACGACUUUCCUUAAUGGUUUCCUUAAGGAAGAAUUAUAUAUGAUGCAGCCGGAAGGUUUUGUCGAUCCUAAGAAUGCUGAGAAGGUGUGCAAGCUCCAAUGCUCGAUUUAUGGGCUGGUGCAAGCAUCUCGGAGUUGGAACAUUCAUUUUGAUGAGAUGAUCAAAGCGUUUGGGUUUACGCAAACUUAUGGAGAAGCCUGCAUUUACAAGAAAGUGAGUGGGAGCUCUGUAGCAUUUCUCAUAUUGUAUGUGGAUGACAUACUGUUGAUGGGAAAUGAUAUAGAAUUCUUGGAAAGCAUAAAGGCCUACUUGAACAAGUGUUUUUCAAUGAAGGACCUUGGAGAAGCUGCUUAUAUAUUAGGCAUCAAGAUCUAUAGAGAUAGAUCGAGACGCCUCAUUGGUCUUUCACAGAGUACGUACCUUGAGAAGAUAUUGAAGAAGUUAAAAAUGGAUCAGUCAAAGAAGGGGUUCUUGCCUGUAUUGCAAGGUACGAGAUUGAGCACGGCUCAAUGCCCGACCAUGGCAGAAGAUAGAGAAAAGAUGAGUGUCGUCCCCUAUGCCUCGGCCAUAGGUUCUAUCAUGCAUGUUAUGCUGUGUACCAGACUUGAUGUAAACCUUGCCGUAAGUUUGGUAGGAAGGUACCAAAGUAAUCCCGGCAUGGAACACUAGACAAGGGUCAAGAAUAUCCUGAAGUACCUGAAAAGGACUAAGGAUAUGUUUCUCGUGUAUGGAGGUGACGAAGAGCUCAUCGUAAAGGGUUACGUCGAUACUAGCUUCGACACAGAUCUGGAUGACUCUAAGUCACAAACCGGAUACGUGUAUAUUUUGAAUGGUGGGGCAGUAAGCUGGUGUAGUUGCAAGCAAAGCGUUGUGGCGGGAUCUACAUGUGAAGCGGAGUACAUGGCAGCCUCGGAGGCAGCACAAGAAGCAGUCUGGGUGAAGGAGUUCAUUACCGACCUAGGAGUCGUACCCAAUGCGUCGGGCCCGAUGACUCUCUUCUGUGACAACACUGGAGCUAUUGCCCUUGCCAAGGAGCCCAGGUUUCAUAGGAAGACCAGGCAUAUCAAGCGUCGCUUCAACUCCAUUCAUGGAAGUGUUCAAAAUGGAGACAUAGAGAUUUGUAAAGUACAUACAGACCUGAAUGUGGCAGAUCCGUUGACUAAACCUCUCCCUAGAGCAAAACAUGAUCAACACCAGAACUGCAUGGGUGUUCGAUUCAUCACAAUGUAACUAGACUAUUGACUCUAGUGCAAGUGGGAGACUGUUGGAAAUAUGCCCUAGAGGCAAUAAUAAAAUGGUUAUUAUUAUAUUUUUUUGUUCAUGAUAAUUGUUUAUUGUUCAUGCUAUAAUUGUGUUAUCCAAAAAUCGUAAUACAUGUGUGAAUACAUAGACCAUAACACGUCCCUAGUGAGCCUCUAGUUGACUAGCUUGUUGAUCAAAGGAUAGUCAUGGUUUCCUGACUAUGGACAUUGGAUGUCAUCGAUAAUGGGAUCACAUCAUUAGGAGAAUGAUGUGAUGGACAAGACCCAAUCCUAAGCUUUGCUCAAAGAUCGUGUAGUUCGUUUGUUGUAGCUUUUCUGAAUGUCAAGUAUCAUUUCCUUAGACCAUGAGAUUGUGAAACUCUCGGAUACCGUAGGAGUUCCUUGGGUGCGCCAAACGUCACAACGUAACUGGGUGACUAUAAAGGUACAUUACAGGUAUCUCCGAAAGUGUCUGUUGGGUUGGCAUGAAUCGAGACUGGGAUUUGUCACUCUGUAUGACGGAGAGGUAUCUCUGGGCCCACUCAGUAAUGCAUCAUCAUAAUGAGCUCAAUGUGACCAAGUGGUUGAUCACGGGGUCAUGCAUUACGACACGAGUAAAGUGACUUGCCGGUAACGAGAUUGAACUAGGUAUUGGGAUACUGACGAUCGAGUCUCGGGCAAGUAACAUACCGAUUGACAAAGGGAAUUGUAUACAGAUUGAUUGAAUCCUCGACAUCAUGGUUCAUCCGAUGAGAUCAUCGUGGAGCAUGUGGGAGCCAACAUGGGUAUGCAGAUCCCGUUGUUGGUUAUUGACCGGAGAGGCGUCUCGGUCAUGUCUGCAUGUCUCCCGAACCCGUAGGGUCUACACACUUAAGGUUCGGUGACGCUAGGGUUGUAGAGAUAUUAGUAUGUAGUAACCCGAAAGUUGUUCGGGGUCCCGGAUGAGAUCCCGGAUGUCACGAGGAGUUCCGGAAUGGUCCGGAGGUAAAGAUUUAUAUAUGGGAAGUCCAGUUUUGGCCAUCGGGAAGGUUUCGGGGGUUAUCGGUAUUGUAUCGGGACCACCGGAAGGGUCCCGGGGGUCCACCAGGUGGGGCCACCUAUCCUGGAAGGCCCCAUGGGCUGAAUUAGGUGGGGAACCAGCCCCUAGUGGGCUGGUGCGCCCCCCUUGGGCCUGCCCUGCGCCUAGGGUUGGGAAACCCUAGGGAUGGGGGCGCCCCCCACUUGGCUUGGCGGGGAAGCCACCCUUGGCCGCCGCCCCCUUGGAGAUCCAUCUCCCUAGGGCCGGCGCCCCCAAGGCCCCUAUAUAAGGGGGGGGAGGGAGGGCAGCCGCACCCCUUGCUCUUGGCGCCUCCCUCUCCCUCUGUAACACCUCUCCUCCCUGCUUGCGCUUGGCGAAGCCCUGCCAGGAUUCUGCUGCAUCCACCACCACGCCGUCGUGUUGCUGGAUCUUCAUCAACCUCUCCUUCCCCCUUGCUGGAUCAAGAAGGAGGAGACGUCUUCCUAACCGUACGUGUGUUGAACGCGGAGGUGCCGUCCGUUCGGCACUAGGUCAUCGGUGAUUUGAAUCAUGUCGAGUACGACUCCAUCAACCCCGUUCUCUUGAACGCUUCCGCACGCGAUCUACAAGGGUAUGUAGAUGCACUCCUCUCUCCCUCGUUGCUAGAUGACUCCAUAGAUUGAUCUUGGUGAUGCGUAGAAAAUUUCAAAAUUCUGCUACGUUCCCCAACACAAGAAGGCGAAGACUUCCACACCAAUCCGAGUUUCCCCAUGAAAGGCAUGUUUUGGAAUAGCAGAGGUCUCUCGGACUUGGCUAAACAUAAACACGUCGGUGAUUGUGUAAGGGAACAUGGAUUGGAUUUUGUGGCAAUUUCCGAGUCUGGUAAGUGUGAUUUUCUUCAGCAUGUCCUCGAUCACCUAUCAGGUGGUUUCAACUAUGCAUGGCAUAGUCUACCAGCUCGUGGAAGGUCUGGAGGAAUUCUUCUUGGUAUUCUGACAAUAGUCAUGGACUUGUUGGCCUUUUCAAUCGGUGAAUUUCAUAUAAAAUAUCACCUAAGAAACAGAGCUGACAAUUUUACAUGGACUCUAGUCGCAGUCUACGGGGCUGCCCAAGAUGAGCAUAAACCGGCUUUCCUUCGGGAAUUGGUAAACCUGGCGAAGGAUAACCCGUACCCAAUGCUUAUUUGAGGGGACUUCAAUAUCCUUAGAUACCAGGAAGAGAAAAAUAUUGACCAUUUCAACACUCAUUGGCCCUUCCUAUUCAACGCUGUGAUAGACAGUUUGGAUCUUCGGGAGGCGAGUAUGUCGGGGCGUCAGUUCACAUGGGCUAAUAACCGAUCUGUGCCAACAUAUGGGAAGCUUGAUAGGGUACUCAUGGAUACCGAAUGGGAACUAAAAUUUCCUCUGGUAACCGUACGAGCCCUAGAGCGUAUCGAGGCGUUAUCGGAUCAUGCACCCAUCAUUCUAGAUUCUAAAUCUACGAACCUAGCUGCACGUCGUCCUUUCAAAUUUGAAUUGGGAUGGAUGCAUCGGGAGGGAUUUGUAGACAUAAUCAAGAAUGUUUGGGAGAGGCCUGUUGUUGGUCGUACACCUAUUCACAGAUGGAACUUUAAAAUGAGGGCCAUGAGGCAACAUCUCACUGGAUGGGCGAAACAUACAAACGGGAUAUAAAAAAAAGAAAAACAACGACUCUGUACCAUCAUUGAUGACCUCGACAAAAUUGCUGAGACGCGCACCUUAUCUCAAUAAGAGAUUGAAUUGAAAAAUCAAUCUAAUGAGAAGGUUGCACGUCUUUUGCGAGAAGAAGAGAUCAAAUACUACCAAAGAUCCAAAGCUGAUUUCAUUCUGAUGGGUGAUAGUAAUACAAGAUACUUCCAAUUGGUCGCCAAUGGGCGGCAUAGGAAGAAGUGUAUUUACAGUCUCCAACAAGAUGAGGGGCGGAUCGAAGGUCAGGAGGAGCUCAAAAAGUAUAUCACUAACUACUAUAAAUCUCUGUUCGGGGCGACCACCGAAGGGAACUUCACCCUUGAUGAGACCCGAACAGAUGAUAUCCCACAAGUCACGGCUGAAGAAAAUGAUAUCCUUACAUCAACAUUCUCUGAAGAGGAGGUGAGAGCUGCGGUGUUCCAAAUGGAACAUAACAAAGCUCCAGGUCCAGAUGGUUUUCCUGCUGAAUUCUACCAGAAUUUCUGGGAUAUAAUCAAGUCUGGCCUAAUGGAGUUGUUUAAUUGCCUUCAUGCCGACAACCUUGACCUAUUCAGACUUAAUUUUGGUGAGAUUGUCUUGUUGCCAAAGAUUAAGGAGGCUGAACGGAUCCAACAGUUCAGACCCAUAUGCCUUCUUAAUGUCGGCUUCAAAAUUUUCACCAAAGUGGCUACGAAUAGGUUAAAUUCGAUAGCUAACCAUGUUGUCCGACCAUCUCAAACGGCUUUCAUGCAAGGAAGAAAUAUACUUGAUGGCGUAGUAAUCCUGCAUGAGACCGUCCAUGAGAUGCACCAAAAAACAUGAGUGGAGUAGUAUUCAAGAUCGACUUUGAAAAAGCCUAUGACAAGGUCAAAUGGUCUUUCCUCCAACAGGCCCUAAGGAUGAAAGGUUUCUCCGAUAAAUGGCGCGAGUGGAUCCAUAAUUUUAUAACUGGAGGUAGUGUGGCCAUCAAAGUCAAUGAUGAUGUAGGCCAUUACUUUCAAACAAAAAAAGGAUUACGACAGGGUGAAUCCAUGCCUCCAAUGUUAUUUAACAUUGUCGCUGACAUAUUGGCUAUUCUGAUAGAGCGCGCCAAGCAGGACGGCCAGAUUGCAGGAGUAGUGCCACACCUUGUGGAUGGUGGUCUCUCUAUUCUGCAAUAUGCCGAUGACACGAUUCUCUUUAUGGAACAUGACCUGGACAAGGCUCGAAACCUUAAACUCUUGUUGUCAGCGUUUGAGCAAAUGUCGGGUCUUAAAAUAAACUUCCAUAAAAGUGAACUUUUCUGCUUUGGAGAAGCCACUGAGGCGGCGGCUGAAUAUGCUGACCUGUUUGAUUGUGCACAUGGCCAAUUCCCGAUUAAAUAUUUGGGAAUACCGAUUCAUUAUCGGCGUCUCACCAUUGCAGAGUGGAAGCAUGUAGAGGAGCGGUUAGAGAAACGAUUGAGCAGUUGGAAAGGCAAAUUGCUCUCAGUUGGAGGACGACUGGUUUUGAUUAACUCUGUCCUCACAAAUAUGGUUCUCUAUAUGCUUUCUUUCUUCCAACUCCCAAAAGGGGUCCUGCAAAGACUAGACUAUUUUAGAUCCAGAUUUUUUUGGCAAGGAGAUGGUGAAAAGAAAAACUAUAGACUGACCAAAUGGAGUGUGGUUUAUAGGCCGAAAGACCAAGGUGGCCUUGGAAUUCAUGACUUGCAAAUCAAGAAUGAGGCCCUACUUAGUAAAUGGUUGUUCAAACUUCUUACUGAGGAUGGUGUUUGGCAAACCAUGCUGCGCAACAAGUAUUUAGGCCAAAAGGCAGUGUCUCAGGCAUAUUGGACACCUGGCGACUCGCACUUUUGGGCUGGCCUAAUGGCGGCAAAGAAACAUCUCUUUCGCUUUGGGUCUUCCGCGAUAAGGGACAGGUCGGAGGUUCGUUUCUGGAAAGACAUCUGGCUAGGCAAUGCCAGUCUUCGAGAACAAUAUCCAGCCCUGUACAACAUUGCUCGCGAAAAGAAUAAUACUAUUGCGCAAGUGCUCAGUUCAUCCCCACCAAAUAUUUCGUUUAGGCGGGAUUUGAUUGGCCCCCGACUUAUGUCAUGGCACAAUCUUUUAUCCCGUUUGGAUUCGAUUAAUAUUAGACAAGGCCGAGAUGUGUUUCACUGGAACCUUACUACAUUAGGGUCAUUCACAGUAGACUCUAUGUAUCGUGCACUCAUGCAUUCUGAGGUACCGGUGAGUAACAAUAAGAAAAUCUAGAAGUCGAAGAUUCCACUAAAAGUUAAAAUCUUCAUGUGGUAUCUUCGUAGGGGAGUUGUUCUAACCAAAGACAACCUCGCACGACGCAACUGGCCAGGGAGUAAGAAGUGUUGUUUUUGUACUCAUGAAGAGACAACCGAACACCUCUUUUUCCAAUACAAGUUUGCACGUACUACACGGGCAAUCAUCCAAAUGGCGUCAAAUUUGUAUCCGCCCACAAGUGUCGCCAAUAUUUUUGGUCACUGGUUGGACGGUAUUCCAAAUAGAAUCAAAACGCUAAUACGGGUGGGAGCAUACGCCUUACUAUGGUCGCUUUGGUUAUGUAGAAAUGAUUUGGUUUUCAAUGAUAAAAAUGCUUCUCCUUUGCAGGUUAUUUUCCGUUAUACGCACUCGCUUCGUACGUGGUCUACGCUACAACGACUGGAGUACCAACCGCUGUUCAAGACGGUAUGUACGCGGUUGGAGCAGGUGGCUACGGUGGUUUUUACCCAACAUGGGUGGCAGCAUAAUCUCCGGAUCGGUCCACCAUCCCUUGCGACAUAGGCAUAGUGUCGGUCUAUAGGACUCUACUGUCGCCGAUUUUUUUUUCUAUUCAUUUUGUCAGACUUUCCGUGUUGGGCUGUGUGCAUCCUAAUUAUGCAGAGCCCGCGUGUUACUCAUAAUAUUUUGUAUCCGCUUGAUGCUACAUUUCGAGAUAAUAAAAGCGCCCUUUAUCGAAAAAAAGAAACAAAGCAGACAUUUAAAUGCCUGAGCAAAGCAGGAGAUACAAGAAAACCAAUCAAAAUCCAAAGACAAGGGGCUUUAAUGCUACAAUCACUACUUUGUUGUCUUGUAUCAGGCAUGCUGCUGCUUUGAUGCUCCAAUCACUAUUUUGUUCUCUUGUUGUCACUAUUACUGUCAGAUUUUUCUAGGCUGCUCCCAACUAAUGUACCCAGGAUGCCCCAUCUGACAGUAAUUGGGAGCAGCCUAGAAAAUUAUUGUGGGGUUAAUCAGUUGUAACUUCAAGUUUAGAAUCAACACUGCUAAGUUUUUCGCUCCUGUAUUGCAGGAGAUGCUGAAUAAAUGGCAUUCAAGUAUCCAUGAUCUCGGGACAAAGCAAAUCUAGUCAGUUGCUGGAUUUAUGUAUCGCUCAUUAUCAUUGAAGAAUUAACGAGUCAGCACAAGCUAUCUAAAGCACGUCAGACCAAAAAACAUGCCAUGAUUAGGAGGAUCUAUUUCGGGGAAAUAGUACACCGAGUGAUAUGAAAUGUAUCAUCUGCACGGAAUGGAAAUAUGUGUAAUGCAAAGUUUUAAACUGAAAACCUACCCCGCUACAUUUAAGUGAUAUUUCUGGAUUAAACGUUUCACUGACCAAGGAUAUCAUUUUUAUUUAUCUCAAACUGAAAGGGACAAAGUAAUGCAAUAUAACAAGAGAUAUGCAUCUUCAGAAUCAGCCCUCACAGAUAUUAACCACUGAGAACAAAACUUACAACUCAGAUUUAAUUCAUUGAAGUAAAUGAAAAUUCAGGAUAACCUUAGCUAGCAGAAUCAUAGUAUAUAUAUGGCUACCAAAUUACUGUACUUAACUCACAAAGGUCUCUAUAAAGACGUUCUUUGUACUCAGAAAGUAGUUCAGAUUAAUGAAGCAACAACAAGAUAAAACAAAUUAAAUACACACAAAAUAUAAAAGAAGACAAGAAGAAGAAUGGGAAUACCUCUCGUAGUCGUUAAUACGACUCGUUGUCAAGAAAAUGAUUGUGUGAGAUUAAUUUUUAAUCGGUAGAAUUACAACUAAUCCCUCCCAGCCAUGAGCGGCUCAUGUCCCGUCCCCUGUGCACUGCAACGCAUCAAAAUUGGCUCGUGAGAUCGAUUACUGUGACUUACCCAAUUAAUUUCCCCCACGCUGGGGAAAAUCGAUCAGCUUGCAUGUGUGGUUGCGAACGUGCACAGCUCGCCGUGUAAUACCAUACAUGCUUGCUCGGAAAGAAAUCGAGGUUGUUCUGCAUCUUGCCGUAAAGGACUUGGCAAAAGUUGCAUCUCCGCAUCCAGAUAUUGCUCCGGUUGGAAACACACACCAAUAUAUAGAUGCCACCACAGAAAUACACGCACGCACAAUUGGAUUGCUAUAAGAGGCUAACCUUUGUUACUUUCUUGGCUUUAUUUCUUGUAGGGUGUAGAUUAAAAGGACCACGUACAUUAGAUUGCCAAAGGGUCGAGUCUCGGCUGAAACAGACAAGCAAUACAUGCACGUACAUGUCUAGCAGGAGCACGGUCGGUUCAGGCACACACCGGUCGCCGCCCUUUGCUAAGGGGUCACUAGUAGAAAAGGGGCUUUUAGUCCCGAUUCUGGAACCGAGAAAGGCCCUUCACGUGGCCGCUGUCUGGAGGUCCACCUUUAGUCCCCGGUACUAAAGGAAAUUUUAUGAUUUUUUAUGAUUUUUUUGAAUUUUUUUAUUUUUAAAUUUCUGAAUUUUUUUAACCUCUAAUCUCUAAUCACCCCUCAUCACUGCUCAAUUUAACCUCCAAUCUCUAAUCACCCCUCAUCAUUUCAAAUCAUCUAACUCCCAUCCUCUCACUACUCCAGCCUGAGCACGCUUAACUUCCGGGUUUUAUUCUCCCUCGUUUCCAAGUCUGCACUUGUUGUUUUCCUAAUAAUAGUAAGAUGUCAAUCGUAUUAACCCUCAGGAAUUUAGCUUGAGCAUGAAGUCACACACUUCACUGUUUGAGUUUGAAACUAUUGUUCUAAAAAACAAUAAUUAUUUAGUAACACUAGUAUUUCUUGAAUAAGUAGUUUGAUCAUAGUUUGACCACAGUUUGACCAUAGUUUGACCAAGUUUGACCAGAUUUGACCAAAAUACAAAAAAACUGAAAUAAUUAUUUAGUAACACUAAUAUUUCUUGAGUAAGUUGUUUGACCAUUGUUUGACCACAGUUUGACCAGAUUUCACCAAAAUUCAGAAAAACUGAAAUAAUUAUUUAGUAACACUAAUAUUCUUGAAUAAUUAUUUAGUAACACUAAUACUUCUUGAAUAAGUAGUUUGACCAGAUUUAACAAAAAAAAAA